This 485-nucleotide ribosomal RNA is filed under the name uncultured bacterium. RNAcentral's name for it is "partial 16S ribosomal RNA". It matches the Rfam family "Bacterial small subunit ribosomal RNA", at positions 28 to 507 of the family's 1533-position model. The record is from RNAcentral.
GAUGAACGCUGGCGGCGUGCUUAACACAUGCAAGUCGAACGGGAUCCAAGGGGUGCUUGCACUUUUUGGUGAGAGUGGCGACCGGGUGAGUAACACGUGAGUAACCUGUCCUUUUCUUUGGGAUAAGCAUUCGAAAGGGUGUUUAAUACCUUAUGUUCUGUCUGCCUCGCAUGGGGUGGGUGGGAAAGGCUUUGGCCGGAUUUGGGUGGGCUCGCGGUCUAUCAGCUUGUUGGUGGGGUGAUGGCUUACCAAGGCUUUGACGGGUAGCCGGCCUGAGAGGGUGGUCGGUCACAUUGGGACUGAGAUACGUCCCAGACUCCUGCGGGAGGCAGCAGUGGGGGAUAUUGCACAAUGGGCGAAAGCCUGAUGCAGCGACGCCGCGUGGGGGAUGAAGGCCUUCGGGUUGUAAACUUCUUUUGCUCUGAACAAGGCAUGCCAGUGGGUGUGUUGAGUGUAGGGGUUGAUUAGCGCCGGCUAACUACGUG